Molecule: transfer RNA, 84 nt
Filed under: Nitrospina sp.
Lineage: Bacteria; Pseudomonadati; Nitrospinota; Nitrospinia; Nitrospinales; Nitrospinaceae
Also listed under: 1 other name
Description: tRNA-Leu
Rfam family: tRNA
About the family: Transfer RNA (tRNA) molecules are approximately 80 nucleotides in length. Their secondary structure includes four short double-helical elements and three loops (D, anti-codon, and T loops).
Source: RNAcentral
GCCAGUGUGGUGAAAUUGGUAGACACGCACGUUUCAGGGACGUGUUCCUUUACGGGAGUGGGAGUUCGACUCUCCCCACUGGCA